GAUCCUGGCUCAGGACGAACGCUGGCGGCGUGCUUAACACAUGCAAGUCGAACGAAGAGCGAUGGAAGCUUGCUUCUAUCAAUCUUAGUGGCGAACGGGUGAGUAACGCGUAAUCAACCUGCCCUUCAGAGGGGGGACAACAGUUGGAAACGACUGCUAAUACCGCAUACGAUCCAACCUCGGCAUCGAGGAUGGAUGAAAGGUGGCCUCUAUUUAUAAGCUAUCACUGAAGGAGGGGA
Molecule: ribosomal RNA, 239 nt
Filed under: uncultured bacterium
Lineage: Bacteria
Description: partial 16S ribosomal RNA
Rfam family: Bacterial small subunit ribosomal RNA
Source: RNAcentral